RNAcentral lists this long non-coding RNA (1401 nucleotides) under Apteryx owenii (little spotted kiwi). Its description in RNAcentral is "lncRNA (ENSAOWG00000013299.1)". Lineage: Eukaryota; Metazoa; Chordata; Aves; Apterygiformes; Apterygidae. The record is from RNAcentral.
GUAAUGUCAGGUGUACUCCAAAAACAUAUUAAUGAGCACAAUGACAAAGCUAGUUUGGGUAAUCCAAUAAAAAGGACCUGGUGUGAAUUGGCAUUUUUUACUGGUGAUUUUUCCUGAAUGAAAAAGAUUCUCCAGGUGCUCCUGACCCUUCACCACCACGGUCAGCGCCUGAACCCUCCCAGGUCCCACCAAAUUCAACCAGAUGGGAUCUUCCUUGCAAAAGAUCCUGCUUUGUGUGACUAAUCAGCAGCAGGGACUUAGAGAAGGAGCAGCUUAAAAACUACUCCUAGGAUUUCUGUUUUCAUUUGGUUGGUGGGUUUUUUUUCUUUUUUUUCUUUUAGGAACCACAAACAAGUUAAGCUGCUUCUGUCCGCAUAUGAUGCUUGACUAACCUUGACGGUGACAGAGAUGGCCAGGCGAUGGUCACCUGCAGCGCAGCUGGGCAAUAGGCAGCCUCCAAGGCGCUCUUCUCUCCAAAGGUUUUUCAGGGACUGUCGAUCUCCUCCCCCACCUUCCUGGCUGGCCGUGCAGGGUCCAAGGCUUGCUUGUGUUCGCUGGCAGUGGUGAGGAAGCAGCGUUUGGAGACGAAAGUGUUGGGGAGCUGGAUACACCAAGCAGGCAAAGGAACAGCUUUCCCAAGCUGGAAGAUCCCUCCUUCCCUUCCUGCGGGCGUGUGGGAAAAGGGUCAGGCCCAGCUGCUGCAGCCAGCCUGCAGUGAGAGAGGUCGCGGACACGGUGAUGCAAGCUAUCGGCGUCGCGCCAUCUCCCAGCCUGUGCAUUCAGCCUUCCCUCCUUCCACCAGCCGCUGCCGGGAGGAAAGGGUUAAGAAGCAACAAGACUGAGGAACGAGACCAGGGAAUUCAGCUGCUGACGCAGAGCUGGCUUGCUUCACUGUAUUUCCUCCACGUCUGCUGGAGCCCAGCUCACUGAACGCGUCUCUCAGCUUUGGUCCUCAACUCGUAUUACAGAAGUUCCUAAACCAGCUUGAUUCAACUGAAACUUUUGCACUGAGAUCACCACCACGAUAUCCGUCACUCUGAUGCUUAAUGAGCCUCGAGUUUGCUGCUCCUUCCUCCCCUCUGCCUCCAUUCCUGCCCUGUUUCUCCCACUAGCCAGCCCCAGAGCCCGUGUUCCCCGAGAUGGAUUAGCAGUGUGUCUUCAGCCUACGUUUCAUUUUCCUGUUUUCUGCUGAUGUUGCCAGUCUCUCCUGGUCUCUAUUAUUCCUGAGUCUCGGGGUUUGCAACACCUCCUGAUUUAGUGUCAGCUGCAAACGCCUUCCGUGUGCCGUGUACCGCCACUCCCACUCCAUUAAGGAAGAUGUUAAAUAAGACCAAGCCUGGCUUCAUGAGUCCUGUAAAACGUACCUGAGAUUAAAUCAGCGGGUUUGUUUUGAAAUGCCAU